GAUGAACGCUGGCGGCGUGCCUAAUACGUGCAAGUCGAGCGAACGGACGAGAAGCUUGCUUCUCUGAUGUUAGCGGCGGACGGGUGAGUGACACGUGGAUAACCUACCUAUAAGACUGGGAUAACUUCGGGAAACCGGAGCUAAUACCGGAUAAUAUUUUGAACCGCAUGGUUCAAAAGUGAAAGACGGUCUUGCUGUCACUUAUAGAUGGAUCCGCGCUGCAUUAGCUAGUUGGUAAGGUAACGGCUUACCAAGGCAACGAUGCAUAGCCGACCUGAGAGGGUGAUCGGCCACACUGGAACUGAGACACGGUCCAGACUCCUACGGGAGGCAGCAGUAGGGAAUCUUCCGCAAUGGGCGAAAGCCUGACGGAGCAACGCCGCGUGAGUGAUGAAGGUCUUCGGAUCGUAAAACUCUGUUAUUAGGGAAGAACAUAUGUGUAAGUAACUGUGCACAUCUUGACGGUACCUAAUCAGAAAGCCACGGCUAACUACGUG
This 497-nucleotide ribosomal RNA is filed under the name uncultured bacterium. RNAcentral describes it as "partial 16S ribosomal RNA". It matches the Rfam family "Bacterial small subunit ribosomal RNA", at positions 28 to 507 of the family's 1533-position model. The record is from RNAcentral.